UAGACCAUGGCCUACUCUAAUCACGGCCCAUCAGCUGGCUAUCUCCCUGUAGCCUAAAAUGAAUUGUGAUAGCUCCGCCCAUUCAUAGCCAGAGGGUCGUAGUCCCUCUCAAACUUUUCCAAAUUCCACGGCUUCUUUCCACCUUUUAAAAUUUUCUGAAAUUCUGCCAUUGCCGUGCUGAAGUUCUGACGCCAUGAUAUGCAUCGCUCUGCCAGGGUGUUUUAGUGUUUGGUAAGUAUUUGUUCCUUAAUUUUUUAUCCUUAAUUUUUCUUGAUAACAUUCAUAGGACAAAACGCCGACACAAUGCAAAUAAAAACAAGUAAAAUGGGACGCAAGUACUUUUCAGAGAGCUAGACCAAGCCGGGCACUGUCUGAGGCCCAGCACACAAUGUGUAAUUUAUGUCAAAAGCGGCUGAGGAUCUGGGGGAGCCAACUGAAGUAGAUUAGUAAUGGGCAGAGCAUUGAAUUUUACAUACGAACAACAACAACAUCACUUCCUACUUUUGAAGUUUCACCAAUAUUCUCAUCUUUCGUAAUGGGUCUAUGGAUUUUAUAUUUCCUGUUGUUUUCAAGUCGUUGAUAUACAUGACCUUUUCGGACAUUUCAGUAACAGUCUUACUUGCAUCAACUUCUUUCAUAACAUUGUCGUUCCGAGCUGAAUUUAUUAGUGAUACUACUUCUUCGUCCAGAAAGCCACUAUUAUGGUUGCUUGCAGGUGUUGAAGAUCGAUAAUUAGAAUACAAAUCUUGUUCAUAGUGA
Molecule: long non-coding RNA, 759 nt
Filed under: Daphnia magna
Lineage: Eukaryota; Metazoa; Arthropoda; Branchiopoda; Diplostraca; Daphniidae
Description: uncharacterized LOC116923367, transcript variant X1
Source: RNAcentral